Molecule: ribosomal RNA, 538 nt
Filed under: uncultured Glomeromycotina
Lineage: Eukaryota; Fungi; Glomeromycota
Description: SSU rRNA
Rfam family: Eukaryotic small subunit ribosomal RNA
Source: RNAcentral
UUGGAGGGCAAGUCUGGUGCCAGCAGCCGCGGUAAUUCCAGCUCCAAUAGCGUAUAUUAAAGUUGUUGCAGUUAAAAAGCUCGUAGUUGAAUUUCGGGGUUAGUAGAUUGGUCAUGCCAUCGGUAUGCACUGGUCUCACUGAUUCCUCCUUCCUGAUGAGCCGUAAUGCCAUUAAUUUGGUGUUGCGGGGAAUUUGGACUGUUACUUUGAAAAAAUUAGAGUGUUUAAAGCAAGCUAACGCUUGAAUACAUUAGCAUGGAAUAAUGAAAUAGGACGUUCGAUCCUAUUUUGUUGGUUUCUAGGAUUGACGUAAUGAUUAAUAGGGAUAGUUGGGGGCAUUAGUAUUCAAUUGUCAGAGGUGAAAUUCUUGGAUUUAUUGAAGACUAACUACUGCGAAAGCAUUUGCCAAGGAUGUUUUCAUUAAUCAAGAACGAAAGUUAGGGGAUCGAAGACGAUCAGAUACCGUCGUAGUCUUAACCAUAAACUAUGCCGACUAGGGAUCGGAUGAUGUUAAUUUUUUAAUGACUCAUUCGGCGCC